This 492-nucleotide ribosomal RNA is filed under the name uncultured bacterium. Its description in RNAcentral is "partial 16S ribosomal RNA". It matches the Rfam family "Bacterial small subunit ribosomal RNA", at positions 29 to 507 of the family's 1533-position model. The record is from RNAcentral.
AGUGAACGCUGGCGGUAGGCCUAACACAUGCAAGUCGAACGGCAGCACAGUAAGAGCUUGCUCUUACGGGUGGCGAGUGGCGGACGGGUGAGGAAUACAUCGGAAUCUACUUUUUCGUGGGGGAUAACGUAGGGAAACUUACGCUAAUACCGCAUACGACCUACGGGUGAAAGCAGGGGAUCUUCGGACCUUGCGCGAUUGAAUGAGCCGAUGCCGGAUUAGCUAGUUGGCGGGGUAAAGGCCCAUCAAGGCGACGAUCCGUAGCUGGUCUGAGAGGAUGAUCAGCCACACUGGAACUGAGACACGGUCCAGACUCCUACGGGAGGCAGCAGUGGGGAAUAUUGGACAAUGGGCGCAAGCCUGAUCCAGCCAUACCGCGUGGGUGAAGAAGGCCUUCGGGUUGUAAAGCCCUUUUGUUGGGAAAGAAAAGCAGCAGGUUAAUACCCCGCUGUUCUGACGGUACCCAAAGAAUAAGCACCGGCUAACUUCGUG